CACUUUCAGCUUCUGAAAUGAACUGGAUUAAUACAGGAGAAAUUUCUAAAUGGCAAUUUUAUUCACUUAUCCAAAUGAAAAAAGUCUCUGCAGAAUACAGCAGGCAAUAAAUGACCUAUUUUCAGGGCAAUUUAUAAUUUUCCAGGAUUCUUGCUAUUUGAAAGAAUGAAAUGUCUCAAAGAAAAAGUAUACCAACAAAAACCCUUGAGGCCACAUAAUGUAGGAGAGCAAAAUCCUGUACUGUUUUAAGAAUAAAAAUCAAUAAAGACAAAAAUCAGAAAAGUUUAAUGAAAGAGUCUAUGGUUAUUGGGACUUUGGCCCUGAGCACAGCAUUAGUCAAAAUGCUGUAGGGCACAGAGAACUUCUAUAAGGCAUUACUUCCAGCAGAGUAAGCAAUCAGAGGAGAAAUCAGAGUCCAUUACUACUGGCAGGAUAACCUGCAUUAACUCUCUCACAGAUGCAUCACUGGUGAGAGCUGAUAAAGAAAUAUGAAGGCUGAGAAAGAAAGGGAAUAGUGUAUCUCUCACAUGUAAUUUUCAGCAAAUUUUGAUGAGCUCAAUCUUGAAUGAGUUUCCCUCCUUUUCUUUCCUCAAUUUCAUUUAGAAAAAUCACCUUGUUUAGUUAGGUUGUUCAAGUGUGGCUUUGCAACUAGCCUAAUGUGGCCCCAAAUUACUGCCCUCAACAUUCUUUAGGAAGCAUCUGAUUACCAGUAAAUACCCUAUGGUUAAGCAGAGCAAGAUAGCUCUAGGCUGAUUCCAAGAACAAGAAUCUUUCUAAACUGACAAAUCAGUCUCUUUACUGUCAAAUACUGUUUCCUGUCAGAAGGGUUCCCUAUUUUUUUCAACUUGCUUCUCCAUGCUGGCAGCCUCCUGUCGGUCUGUAUAAGGUCCUGACUCCUAAAGCUUCUAAAUUCUUCUUUUCCAUCCUCCAGUGUCCCUACAGAUUAUACCACUAACCUCUGCUACUGAUCUGGCAGGAAAUUAUCUGAAAGUCAUCCAAAAAUUAGAACUGCAUUGCCACAGAAGCUGAAUUUACUUUCUAAUAUACUGAAUUCAUUUGCCCAUAUUUUAAAACAACUCAAAAAAGAACCAUCCCUAAUAUGGUGCUGCUUUUUCUUUUUUUUUUUUUUUUUGAGGAGAUUGCUCUGUCCAUAAGAGAUGAAAGGCAGGAAGUGGCCUACCAGCAAGCAGUUCUCCUUUGAAGACAGAUAACAAAAUACCACAGUUAAAACUAUAUUUAUAAUUGCAAAAUCACUAUUCUUGAACAAAUUCCAAAUACAGUUAUGUACCUUUGAUCUUAGAAGAGCAUUUUUCUCAUUGCUCAUAGCUGACAUUGAUGGUUCAGUUAGGCACCCACUCCCAACUACGGCAAAAAUGUUCCCUGAAAUUCAAUCAUGUGGAUUAUUAGCUUUUAGUUGUUGAGAAGUGGCUGCCUUAUGCUUCACCAGUGCUGCUGCUUGGGAUAUUUCUGCCUGCUAUGACGAUAGGAGAACUUGUCCUAGGAACAGCAUCCAUGUGACCACCUGGCAGCUCUCUCAAUUCCUUCUGUGUGAUGUCAGACAGUCCUGGAGAAUCAUUCCACAUCUCCCCAGAUAAGGACUAUUAUCUCAGUAAAACAUACUGCAACCAUGAGAAAAAUUUUGAGUAACUUAGAGUUUAAGUUUCAUAUUUAAAAACAAAAUCUAUUCUCGACCUCUCACAUUUUAUAUUACAGCAAAAAAAAAAGUCUAAUGAUAACAUGUAGCUUCAAUAAUGAAGUAAGCCUAUUUUAAAACAAUGAAAAUAUCUCUAGUGUCUCCAUGGUCCAUUUUAAACAAUUAAGAGAAGAUAAAUACCACAGCAUUAUAUCAUUUAUUCAAAAAUAUUGUCUUAACUUCAACAGCUAUUGUUUGUGGGUCUUUUAAGACAAGGUAGAAACAAGGGACACUGACAUAGUAAAAUUAUGGUGGAAGCUCUUAUAUCUUUGAUAACCAGUAGUCCUUAAAGCUCAGUUAGUUGAGAGAAGCACCAAGGAGGAUUCGUAAUCAUAGCUAAGGGCCCACAUUACAACAAGAGAAUCUUUCUGGGAAAUAAGGAAAAGAACACCUUCCAUGGAAAACAACUAUGUUUUUUAAGUUACAUGCAAGUACGUGUACAGUCUCUCCCCCCCCCCCUCAGAGCUGAUAGAUUGAUAGAGAUUAGACAACUAUCUGUACUGGGAUGGUAAAAUAUUUCAUGCUCUCAUAAAAGUUGGUUUUAGUGGAACAUGACCCUGAAAGCCAAAUCUAACUUUUGAAACUCAUCUAUGAAGUCAGCAUUCACUAGAUUCUUCACUGACAACCUGACAGUUCAACUUCAAAAGGAGCAUUGACCACCUAAGCAUGUGAACACAGUAUCUCGCAACAUCUGCAGUACAGUCCUAGGAAACAGAAUUAAAGAAUAAUAAUCCAAGUGUCACCGUAUCUGUUCAGCAUCAGGCAAGUAUUAUCAUAAAUAGAUCCUUAUAAUACUGUGAAGUUUUUCCUCUCUGGCAAAUAACUAUUUUCUUUUCCUUGAAAAAGAAAACUUCACCUCCCAUCCUUUAUCAAAUGGUAGCAAUUGUACAUAUAUAUAGAAAACACAUAAAGAAAUAUAGAUUUCUAAAAUGUACAACUCCCCAGCAUAUCAAAUACUGAAUCUUACCAUCUUUGUGAAAUACAAAUAAAACACUAAAAUAGGAAGAAAGCUCUAACAAGAGAGGGCACAAGCAUGAGACUGUAAAAUCCACAAAUUAAAAUGUUUUUCUUCAAUGCACUUGCAACAGCGUGUAUACUCCAUGAUUCUGAUUUAGAAGAAAACAGACUGUAUAAGUCUAUCUAUGCCUAGAAAAAACAUGGGAAGGGUAACACCAAAAUGCUCACAAUGGAUAUGGAGUAGAAUAUGCAUUGAGGGCAACUUCCAUUUUUGUCCUCAUGCUUUUUAAGAGUUUCUGACGUUUAUUAUUUUAAACAAAUUUUAAGCAAAAAAGAACGGCAGUAAGUUAUUUAAAAUCAAAUAUUUUAAGCGUAAUUUAAUAAAGAACAAAGUAGCAGACUUCUGAGGUAGCAAAUCAAUAUGCUGCAGUGGAAAGUUGUUUUCUCCCCUGAUCCUGUCUGUGACCAUGUGACAACUUUUCACACUUGCUCAGAAUCAAUGGUUUUACUACACAAUGACUGCAACUACAGCAAAUGCACCUGUACUCUGAAAUUCAAUUACUGUGGGAGGUUUUAUAGUUUGAAUACUAAGAAGGGACACAUAUACUUCACUAUAUACACAGAAAUAAAGCAGACUCUCUACAUAUUAUAUGCUAAAUAAGAGUGAAUUUAAAAACUCCAUUGUCUUUAUAUCGUACUCAUCCCAGCUUAUUAGUCAGUGCUCUGGCUCUAGUGGGAGUAUAGAAACAUUGUUCUGUCUCAUUUCCAUGGAACUUCAGUGAUUUCCGUACUGUGAUCAGAGUUAAUUAGCUAGAGUGUCCCCGGGACCCCAGAGUAUUUUAUUCACACAGUCACAGUGAGAUUAUCACCUUGGACAGAUAUUUUCAUGUUUGUCUUCCACACUUGACUGAAGCAUACAUAUUGUAUUAUAAAGACUGCGUUCAAUAAAAGAUGAAUGAAUGAUCUGUCCCAGGAAUAACUAAACUUGGAGACAAAAGUCAGAGAUAGCUCAAGAAAUCACAAUGAGUUAUCUGUAAUCUCAGCAAUGUAAAACAUUGAAAGGAAACUAGUAAAUGUUUCUUAAAAGGGUUCCAACAGCUUAAAUCUUUUACUCUUCCUUCAACUCCACUUAUCCCCAACCACGUUUCACCAUCUGCCUUUAAAAAAGGAGCAUAAUUAGUUUUACCUAUAGUACACUUA
Molecule: long non-coding RNA, 3850 nt
Organism: Phyllostomus discolor (pale spear-nosed bat)
Lineage: Eukaryota; Metazoa; Chordata; Mammalia; Chiroptera; Phyllostomidae
Exons: 2
Source: RefSeq, a predicted model, not a curated record